This is a non-coding RNA of Pelobates cultripes (western spadefoot toad), 107 nucleotides long. The record is from the annotation of a GenBank genome assembly. NCBI's taxonomy places the organism in Eukaryota, Metazoa, Chordata, Amphibia, Anura, Pelobatidae.
GCCAAAUAAUACAAUACACAAGAUCCAGCGCACUCACCUAUCCACUAAACAGCACUGUUUAGUGGAUAGGUGAGUGCGCUGGAUCUUGUGUAUUGUAUUAUUUGGCC